CCAGUACUCAUAUGCUUGUCUCAAAGAUUAAGCCAUGCAUGUCUAAGUUCACACCCUCGUACGGUGAAACCGCGAAUGGCUCAUUAAAUCAGUCGAGGUUCCUUAGAUGAUCCAUUUCUACUUGGAUAACUGUGGUAAUUCUAGAGCUAAUACAUGCCCAACAGCUCCGACCCCGGGCUUCGCGGUUCGGGGAAAGAGCGCUUUUAUUAGUUCAAAACCAGUCGGGGGUUUCGGCCCUCGUGCUUUGGUGACUCUGGAUAACUUUGAGCCGAUCGCAUGGCCUCGAGCCGGCGACGCAUCUUUCAAAUGUCUGCCCUAUCAAAUGACGACAGUACGUGAUCUGCCUACCGUGUUGACUACGGGUAGCGGGGAAUCAGGGUUCGAUUCCGGAGAGGGAGCAUGAGA
Molecule: ribosomal RNA, 405 nt
Rfam family: Eukaryotic small subunit ribosomal RNA